Molecule: long non-coding RNA, 1624 nt
Organism: Zeugodacus cucurbitae (melon fly)
Lineage: Eukaryota; Metazoa; Arthropoda; Insecta; Diptera; Tephritidae
Exons: 2
Source: RefSeq, a predicted model, not a curated record
AAAAUUUUAAAUGUUGUAUUAUGCCCUGGUCGAAAAGUUCGAUUUAUGGAAGGAAAUUUUUAUGAAAUUUGAUUUCUAAACGAUAUUGCCAAUUAAAAAGUUCGAGUUAUGGAGAUCUUCGAGUUAUAGUAGUUAGAGUUAUGGAAGUUCCACUGUAUUUAAGAAAUAACAAUUAAGUCGAAUGUGCACUCUAGAAAAUAUGCGUUAAAAUCGACGUCAGACUGUCGGGAUCCUGCGGGUCCCCACCUGGAGUUUGACUCCUCUUAAACUCUUAGGGAUUAUAGGGUCAUUAAGUGCGCGGACCAGGCCUCUCUGGAUUUCCUAAAGGGUAGCGUUGCUAAAAUCAGAGACACCUUUGUAGGCCUCCAACUCAAACUAUAAAAAGCAGUCAGAAGAGCCAAAAAUGACUCAUGGUGUUCGUUCCACACAUCAAUAGAAAGUUGCAGAGAAUCCGCUGGCUGAAUAAAAUGCUAGCAGCAGCAAAAUGUUAAUGCAGCAAACGGCAAUAACGGAGGUUCAACCAGAAUCACCUGCAAACGCAGCUGACUACCAAGACCUGAUAGUAGACAAAAGGAGAAUUCAAUACGCCACAAAUAGUUUCUCACCAUUCAAAGCGGCAGGUCCAAACGGAAUUAUGCCCAUAAUGCUGCAAAAGGCUUGAAAAUAUAUACAAAGCAAGCAUCAUACCAAGUCUUACAUCUUAAGUUGGAAAAGAAAUAAAGUGGUAUUCCUACCUAACCAGGCAAAAGAACACACGAAAAUGCUAAGGAUUUUAGACCUAUAAGACUCACAUUAUUCAUACCGAAGAUACUAGAAAGGUACAGGAAUGACAAAAAAACGGAACACUUACAUGUAGUGACUUUAAAUCGAUGUAGUAUCAACAAAUCAAACUCUCAUAUAAAAGAAAGUAUUUAUUAUACUAAGUACAUUAUUCAGAUUCAAGAAAACACUUUUAUUUAUUUUCCUGAGUGUACACGUCAUUGCAAAUAAAAUGAAAAGUGCAAAAAGGCCAAAAUUGAGUGAAAUUCAAAGAGAGUCAAAUAUGUUUGCUUCAACAGUCAAUGAGAUUAAGGAAAGGGCACUACGCAGGUUAAACCUAUGGGCUACGAACAAUGGACUAGGUAUUAACCCUAUUAAAACAGGACUGAUGCUGUUCACAAGCAGAACCAAAAUUCCCCAGUUUUAUCUUCCAGUACUAAAUGGUACAACACUGUCUCUGACUCCCACAGCUAAAUACUUGGGGUGGAGUUUGACAUCAAACUAAACUGGAAAACGAAUAUUGAAAAUAAGAACAAAAAACCUAUAUGGUCUACUACAUUUGCAAGAAUAUCGCCAGCAGGAAUUGGGGCCUUAAACCUUGUAUAAUCAUGGAUGUAUACGGCUUUCAUUAGACCAAUACUUACAUAUGGAGCAUUGGUAUGGUGGCCAGCGCAAAAGAAGCAAUACAACAUCAGAAAAUUAAAUGGAAUACAAAGAGCAGCAUGUGCAGUAGUUACUGGUGCACUCAAGUCAUGUCCGACUGUUUCUGCAUCAGAUGUCUUGAUAUUCACAAAAUAGCAGCAUGUUCUGCAAUAAGAAUAAAGGAAUUGUUCUCCCAAAGUUGGAUUCCAGUAGUAACUACCAG